Pimephales promelas (fathead minnow) is the source of this 410-nucleotide long non-coding RNA. RefSeq lists it as uncharacterized. NCBI's taxonomy places the organism in Eukaryota, Metazoa, Chordata, Actinopteri, Cypriniformes, Leuciscidae. The record is from RefSeq and is a predicted model, not a curated record.
GUCGGACUCGGUUUGGUUGGGGGGAGGGAGGAACAGUCGAUGAAGGGAGGCGCCGGAGUCUGUUCCGCACACAGAGCUCACCUUCCUGCAGACAAGUGAUAAAGCGUAUUCGUCUCAUUUCAACAGGAAGUCACUUCUGCAGGCAAGUUUGCUACAACAGCAGGAAACCGCAGUGUGUCGUGGCUUGGUAGCCUAGGAUACAACAACAGACAUAAUACAAUUUCAUCAAAUAUUUUUUUUACAAAUACUAUUUAUUUGUUCAUUUAAAAUGUAUUAAUAUAUUCUAGUCUAUUAUUUGUGUAGGCCUAUUCAUAAACUUUAACAUAAAUAUUUAUUAUUAAAUGCAUUUAUUUAUGGAUGUGAUUACAUCAAAAAUUCGUACAAAACAGUUUUCUACAAGUAAAUACUGA